ACACGGACCAAGGAGUCUUGAAUGUGCGCGAGUCAAAGGGACUGGCUAAACCCCAAGGCGAAACGAAAGUGAUGUUGUUGUCGUUGUCGUUGUUGUCGUUGUAGUACUUACUUGAAUAAGCACGCAACACUCAACGCAGCACGCACUGGGGCUGAUCCGGUUCGGGGACGCGCGACAGAAGGAGGAGGGGAUUCUUCUCCUCGUCCUUCGACUCUCUCGCCCCGAUUCGCCACCUUAAUAUGUGGACGGCGCAAGCCCGGGGCCCGCAAAUGGUUCCUCCCCGUCGUUUUUAAAUGCCUAGCCGUGUCGUUGUUGUUGGUGCGGCGAUCGUUUCGUGAAAGAAAGAAAUUAGUGAGAGAUAAUAAGAGAAGGAAAAAAUGGAUGAAUGGUUGGGUUGGAUUGGGUGUUGUGUUGGGGUUUGGGAGUUCCGCCCGCGCGUUUCUAAGGUGCACUGAUUUUUUUUCAAAAUUAGUGUUUCUUAGCCGCGGCGGUAUUCUCUCUCACUCUCUGUCCUUCAUCCUCUCCUCCUCCUUCCGUUUUAUAUAAAUAUUUUCCUUUCUCCUUUUUUAUCGAUCAUUAUUAAGAAAAAAAAGCGGGCGAUCGUUUUUGCAGCAGGAAAAACGCUCGGUUCGUAGACGCGGGACGAGCCGCGGGUACCUUCCCCGCACAUUCUAGUACCCGAAAGAUGGUGAUCUAUGCGUGGCGAGGAUGAAGCCAGGGGAAACUCUGGUGGAGGUCCGAAGCGAUUCUGACGUGCAAAUCGAUCGUCCC
RNAcentral lists this ribosomal RNA (771 nucleotides) under Porcellio nasutus. Its description in RNAcentral is "partial 28S ribosomal RNA". It matches the Rfam family "Eukaryotic large subunit ribosomal RNA", at positions 659 to 908 of the family's 3401-position model. The record is from RNAcentral. Lineage: Eukaryota; Metazoa; Arthropoda; Malacostraca; Isopoda; Porcellionidae.